GAUGAACGCUAGCGGGAGGCUUAACACAUGCAAGUCGAGGGGUAAAUGGUAGCAAUACUAUGAGACCGGCGGACGGGUGCGUAACGCGUAUGCAACAUACCUUGUGCAGGGGGAUAGCCCGUGGAAACGCGGAUUAAUAUUCCAUAGUCCAGCUGUAUCGCAUGGUAUAGUUGGUAAAGAUUUAUCGGCACAAGUUUGGCAUGCGUCUGAUUAGCUUGUUGGUAGGGUAACGGCCUACCAAGGCUACGAUCAGUAGGGGUUCUGAGAGGAUUAACCCCCACACUGGUACUGAGACACGGACCAGACUCCUACGGGAGGCAGCAGUGAGGAAUAUUGGUCAAUGGGCGAGAGCCUGAACCAGCCAAGUCGCGUGAAGGAAGAAGGUUCUAUGGAUUGUAAACUUCUUUUGCAGGGGAAUAAAGGACGGUACGUGUACUGUUUUGUAUGUACCUUGCGAAUAAGGAUCGGCUAACUCCGUGCCAGCAGCCGCGGUAAAACGUCUA
This 503-nucleotide ribosomal RNA is filed under the name uncultured bacterium. RNAcentral describes it as "bacterial SSU rRNA". It matches the Rfam family "Bacterial small subunit ribosomal RNA", at positions 28 to 531 of the family's 1533-position model. The record is from RNAcentral.